UCCUGCGCCCCCGUGGAAGGACGGUGGGGGGACGACGGCGUAGGUCCAGGGGAGCUGAGAGUGCGUCUGUGUUUCCCCGGAGACGCGCUCGGCCCGGGGGCGGGUGGCGGCGUCAGUCCCGGGGAGGACCGGCAGGGGGCGGUCGAGGCUGAGGACUGCGCAGGACCGCCCGGGCGGGACGUGCCGUGUGUACUGCGGGACUUGCAUAAUACCACUCUCCAAGUCAGGGUGCCUUCCAGGAAAUCCUGAGCGAGUUGCUCAUUCAAGUUUUUCCAUGUUUGACGUUGGUGACUUAAUCAAAGAAUCAAAGGAUGUCAGGGGCCUGGAUUGCUGUUAUCUUCUUUCAAAGGCUCUCCUUCAACGGAUAAAAAAUUAAGGCUCAGAGCAGCUCUGGGUCUAACUAGCUAGUUAGUGGCAGAGCUGACGCUGUAACUGAGGUCUACUAACUGCCUGCCCUAGCUCUGAAAAAAAAAAAAAAAUCCAUGUGGCCACUGCCAGCUUCUAUUUACAAGAUAAAUUUCUAACGCUGAAAGAACAUUCUCUCCUCUCCCGGUCCCUUCUGAGUUCGCAUUUCUGUGGCUUAAGCUGCAAGUGGUGAAGCUUAUUUCGGGAACAGAAGCGCAAAUUUAAAAUACAAUAGAAUUAUGAAUAGAUUGCAAUAUUUGACUAUUUUAUAACAACCAUAGACUCUGAUGGUAAAAACAGUUAAAACCUAAGCCUUUCUUUCUUUUCUUUUCUUUCCUUUCUUUCUUUUCUUUUCUUUCUCUCCUUCCUUCCUUCCCUUUCUUUCUCUCCUUCCUUUCUCUCCUUCCUUCCUUUCUCUUCUUCUCUCCUUUUCUUUCUCUCUUUCUUUUCUUUCUCUCCUUCCUUCUUUCCUUCCUUUCUUUCUCUCUUUCCUUCCUUUCUCUCCUUUUCUCCUUUUCUUUCUUUCUCUCCUUCCUUCCUUCCUUUCUCUCCUUCUCUCUCUCUCUCUCUUUCUUUCUUUCUUUCUUU
This 993-nucleotide long non-coding RNA is filed under the name Homo sapiens (human). RNAcentral's name for it is "HSALNT0247222". The record is from RNAcentral. Lineage: Eukaryota; Metazoa; Chordata; Mammalia; Primates; Hominidae.